This is a non-coding RNA of Bacillus glycinifermentans, 87 nucleotides long. NCBI's taxonomy places the organism in Bacteria, Bacillati, Bacillota, Bacilli, Caryophanales, Bacillaceae. The record is from Rfam.
AACAGAUAAAGGCAAACCUGCGGAAACGCAGGGACGCAAAGCCAUGGCCUAAGGCACAGACGGUGCUACGGUUGACAGGUUGCCGAA